CAGUAAGUAGUUUAAUUUAAAAAUAUUAAUUUUGGGGAUUAAUGAUGUGUGUUUGCUCUUUACUGA
Molecule: transfer RNA, 66 nt
Filed under: Sirthenea flavipes
Lineage: Eukaryota; Metazoa; Arthropoda; Insecta; Hemiptera; Reduviidae
Description: tRNA-Pro
Source: RNAcentral